Molecule: non-coding RNA, 1534 nt
Organism: Coffea arabica (coffee)
Lineage: Eukaryota; Viridiplantae; Streptophyta; Magnoliopsida; Gentianales; Rubiaceae
Source: RefSeq, a predicted model, not a curated record
GACCUUACAGAAUGUAUUGGUUGCUGCUCUGGGAAUUCGCCUCAUGAAGAUUCUUUAGCUUUCACUGACCUUGCAUCUCUUUUUCUAAAUUACUCAACUGGUCAUCUUUCAGAGUUUCGGACACAAACUAGGAGAUAGUUCUUGUGACACUACUUAUAUCUGUAGACUAAGCAGAAAGAUUCACAUCUGCGUACCAGUUUAUGUUAGAAAACAAUGCCAAAGCCUGAGAUCUACAUUGUGAAUGUGGUGAUUAAAACUGUAAAUCAGCUGUAGCUUUUGUGGUCAUGACAUGAGCCAUGAAGACUAUGGUCAACCAAGGAUUAUUCGCAGCUGUUGGUCAUCGCUUUCAUGUUUUGGUUCAAAAAUUCUGGUAAUUUUAGAUAUGCUUUUCUUUCAUUGCUCAAUUGUGACUUUUAACCACUUUGAUAUCCACAAAACAAAAGAAAUCUUGUCGUCCUGAAGAUAUUUUUGAGUUAGCCAAGGAAGAUGUACCGUUCAAGCAAUGAAGUUGCACAAAACUUGGUGGAGUAUCUUCCAACAUUCAAGUCUAAGCGGAAUGUUUUGGAGCAUUCUGGUAGUUAGUCAAGCCUGUUUGUUGCUACUUGCUGCUCUUAGUGAACCUACCUUGAUAAAGGCUCUCAAGCUCUCUCUGUUUUUAUGAUUGUUGGUUGCUAGUAUUUGUAUGGUAAAUUUCUUCUUUUGGGGCUUUGGUUACAAUGACAGAAAACCUGCAAUUAUUGAAAUUUUCCUUUAGUUGUAUGCUACGCUAUAUGCCAUCCUGAGUUUGAGUUUUUGUGCUUUGGAGUGAUUUUAGGCCCAAAGCUCAACAGGGAACCUCAUUGAUGCUUUUAAACUAGCAAAUGAUUCAGACAUUUGUUGUCAUGAUAAUAAGGUGCUGAUUUACAUGUUUUAGAACUCAAUUUGUCAUCUCUGGCAUGCUGCUUGUAGUUAGGAGUUAGAUCUACCCAGUGUUAUGGUAGUAGUUGAAUGUGGAUCUCUAUUGUGCCUCAUUGUCCCAUAGCUCUAUUGUGCAUCAAUGCCUCAAUAUGGGAUGCUUUGCAUGUGCUACGAAAAGUGCCUAUCAUUAUUUUCAAGUUUUUAAGUUGUAAUUACUUGCGUUGCAUUGCGGUCGGAACCAAACUAAUGUAAUGGUCAUAGGAAUAACUGUAAACACAACUCUGUAAACAAACAUUUUACCCUUUUGUGAGAUUGACAGAACCAAAGUAUUGUUGAAUUAUCUGAACUUUCUCAUUAGCUUUCUUGUUGACCACAUAUUGUCCCAGUUCGAGUUUUCUGUUGUGCAAUGAUAUCAGGCUCAAACGUCAACUGGAAUCUACAACUGCUCUUAACCUUUGAAAACUUUGUUGAAUCAGAUCCUGUUUCAAUUGGAGAGAAAUGACUAGGAUGGCACACUACAGUCUCUCAAGAUCAAGGACAUCAUUAACGUGAAUUUCUGGUGAUCAUCCUGAGAGGUUUGGUUGGUGAUAGAGAAACACAUUGAUCGUGAGAAGCUUGCAAAUUUUCUAGAAAUAGC